AGAUGUCAGCAUGAAGGAACAGAGCAGGGGAGGCGCCCCGCACUGCAGUGGCCAGUUCGAUUAGAUUGGAUGAUUUUCAGCCUCACAAAAGGAGAAAUGGUGACUGGUAAGUCCCACUGUGUGCUCAUUUUCACACACACCACACUCCUGAGCAAUUCUAGUGCAGCUGAAAGGGCCCGGAAACCCAACCUAUGUGCUAUGGCUUUGUCAUGACAUGAGAGAUAAUGAAGUUGCGCUUCUUUCUGUUUCUCUUUAAUUUACCCAGAGUCAUAGUGGGUAAACCUGUCUCGCCCUCUGCCUAACCACACAAGCUUAGUGAAGGCCAUGCUUGAUCCUUUGGAGAUGACUCUGUUUUCUCUCUUCCAGCUUUGGGUCACCAUAGUCCACUCUCCAGGCUGUAGCUAAGCCAAGCAAGUUUUCAAAAACUAUUAAUCACAUUCAUUGCUGGAUUUGGAUUUGGGU
This 462-nucleotide long non-coding RNA is filed under the name Mus musculus (house mouse). Its description in RNAcentral is "long non-coding RNA chr3:9853276-9853738". The record is from RNAcentral. Lineage: Eukaryota; Metazoa; Chordata; Mammalia; Rodentia; Muridae.